UCCGUGGUGAAUCCAAAACGGAACAUAACUGGGCGUAGCGUGGUGCGGCGCGGCCCGGUCAUGGAGGCUGUAGAGACGCAGGCGGAAGCUGCAGUUUUAGAGGUCCUGGCUGAAGUGGCAGACAUUGGGGAACCUGUAGGCUUACAGGAAGAGGCGGAGCUGCCAGCUCGGAUCCUGGCUGAGUUUUUGAGCAAUUCCCGAAAGAAAGACAAGCUGCUCUGCAGCCAACUUCAGGUAGUAUACUUCCUACAGAAUUUCCUGGCUCAGGAGGACAUUGCCCAGGACCUGGGCCCCUUGGCUUCUGAAGACGUGAGCCGACAGAAGGCAACUGAAGCCAAAGAACAAUGGAAAGAGCUGAAGGCUACCUAUCAAGAGCAUGUAGAGGCCAUAAAAAGCACCAUGACCCAGGCCCUGCCCCAGAUGGAGGAGGUCCAAAGGAAGCGUGUUCAGCUCCAGGAGGCCUUUGAGCAGCUCCAAGCCAAGAAGCAAGCAGUAAUGGAGAAAUUCAAAGCCGCCCAGAAGCAGCGGAAACUACAACAGGAGAAACAUCUGCAGAGUCUGGCAGAAGUCUCUGCAGGGCUGAAGGAACGUCAGAAGGGAAUUCAGCAGAAGCUUGAGCAGCUACAUCAGGAACUUGGAACCUUGAAAAAGCAGGCAGAAUGGGAACAGGAUAAACUGCAGAGGCACCAGACCUUCCUUCAGCUCCUGUAUACCCUGCAGGGUAAGCAGCUGGUCCCUGAGGCAGAGGCUGAGAGCAGAGCUACUACAGGAGCUACCCUUCCACAUGUAACUGCUUAAGGGUAUGGAAGGAAGGUGAACCCCUGGUGUGCCUUUUACUGCAUUUGAGCUCUGCUACCCAUUGAUGGGAUUGGAAGUGGGAAGAAGGAAAGAGAUGUUAUGGUGAAGCUUGGUUCAUCAUCCCUAUGCCAGACCCAUCUGGUCUAACCCUCUCUCCAUCUUCCCCAGCAGAUUGGAUUAUGAAUGCUUGAAUACAGCCUGAUUUCUGACUGUGACCUAGGAGAAAAACUAAAGCCAUAGAGAUUCAUAUACCUGAAAGUGAGUCAUUUAUUUCAAUCAUGAAGACACCUGGAAGCUACAGGAAUCUCAUCUAACUUUGUUGCAGUACUGAUUGCUAUCAACAGUUUGCUAUAUUUUUACCUGCAUUUCCUGUUUAUUUAUAAAAAGGCUAAGUGACAGCCUCAUUCAUUUUAAAAUUUUGUUAUCAGGAACAGUAUUUGUAUUUAAUGCUGUCUUAGAAUUAAAGAAAUGUUUGCUUAUUGGAUAUGUGUCUUAGUUUAAUAAUAAGAGUAUUAUAAGUUUGCAAGGAGAACAUGUACUUGCUUUCUUCAGGCACAUUGAAGUCUAUAAUAUUUCCUAUAUAGUUAGUUUAUGAAUUUAUAUAUGUGAUUCAUAAUAUAUAAAUGAUCAGAAAAUUAAACAUUUGAUUUUUUUCUCUAGGCAUCACUGUCUUCACAGAAAUAAUAUAUUCUUCAUUUGAAAUUUCUUUAACCCUUUGAGCCAUUUUAUGUUACAUAUUUAUCCCUCUUGGAUUGGCCAAAUACCUCACUGAUUUUAUCUUUCUUGUGCUAUUUAAUAGGAAGCUCUUGAUAUUUCUCAUAUGAUGUUGGGCACUGGUUACUUUAAUGUUUAUUUUGUUAAACAACCCAUACCUUGGAGAAUAAAGUGAAAGCUGAACUUGCUAA
Non-coding RNA from Marmota flaviventris (yellow-bellied marmot), 1703 nucleotides. The record is from RefSeq and is a predicted model, not a curated record. NCBI's taxonomy places the organism in Eukaryota, Metazoa, Chordata, Mammalia, Rodentia, Sciuridae.